Molecule: non-coding RNA, 222 nt
Filed under: Acetoanaerobium sticklandii
Lineage: Bacteria; Bacillati; Bacillota; Clostridia; Peptostreptococcales; Filifactoraceae
Description: Clostridium sticklandii T-box sequence
Rfam family: T-box leader
About the family: Uncharged tRNA acts as the effector for transcription antitermination of genes in the T-box leader family. T-boxes are found upstream of many aminoacyl-tRNA synthetase genes and some amino acid biosynthetic genes usually in Gram-positive bacteria.
Source: RNAcentral
AUAAAUCCAAUGAUUUGGAGAGUAGUUUUUCAGAUGGCUUCAGCGAGUCGAUGUAGGUGUGAGAUCGAUAGUCUAUGGAUAAUGAAGAGGACCAAGGAGGAGACUGUGCGAACCCCGGGAUAGUAGUGCAGUACGUAUACAUGCGUUAAAUGUUUUGAGUGGACGAAGAAUGAUUUGUAUUUUUCGUCAAUUAGAGUGGUAACGCGGUGCUCCGUCUCUUGU